RNAcentral lists this ribosomal RNA (463 nucleotides) under uncultured bacterium. Its description in RNAcentral is "SSU rRNA". It matches the Rfam family "Bacterial small subunit ribosomal RNA", at positions 26 to 518 of the family's 1533-position model. The record is from RNAcentral.
AGGACGAACGCUGGCGGCGUGCCUAAGACAUGCAAGUCGAACGGAGCCUUCGGGCUCAGUGGCGAACGGCGGAGUAAUACAUGAGCAACGUACCCUGAAGACUGGGAUAGUCAUUGGAAACGAUGGGUAAUACCAGAUGUGGCGGAAGAUCGGCAUCGGUCUUCCAUUAAAAGGUUUUCGCUUCAGGAGCGGCUCAUGGCCUAUCAGGUAGUUGGUGAGGUAAAGGCUCACCAAGCCGACGACGGGUAGCGGGUCUGAGAGGAUGAUCCGCUCGAGUGGGACUGAGACACGGCCCACACACCUACGGGUGGCAGCAGUUGGGAAUCUUGCACAAUGGGGAAACCCUGAUGCAGCGACGCCGCGUGGAGGACGAAGGGUCUAGGCUCGUAAACUCCUUUUAUCGGGAAAGACUUAGGACGGUACCCGAUGAAUAAGCACCGGCUAACUACGCGCCAGCAGCCGC